UCCAGGGUAGCCGAGUGGACAAGGCACAAGGUGUGGGUUCGAUUCCCGCCCCUGGAC
This 57-nucleotide transfer RNA is filed under the name Cordylochernes scorpioides. Its description in RNAcentral is "tRNA-OTHER". It matches the Rfam family "tRNA". Rfam says of the family: Transfer RNA (tRNA) molecules are approximately 80 nucleotides in length. Their secondary structure includes four short double-helical elements and three loops (D, anti-codon, and T loops). The record is from RNAcentral. Lineage: Eukaryota; Metazoa; Arthropoda; Arachnida; Pseudoscorpiones; Chernetidae.